GCUGGGUGUGGUGGUGCACGCCUGUAGUCCCAGCUACUUGGGAGGCUGAGGUGGGAGGAUCACCUGAGUCUGGGAGGUCAAGGCUGCAGUGAGCUGUGAUUGACUGUGCCACUGCAUUCCAGCAUAGGUGAUAGAGUGAGACCCCGUCUCAA
Non-coding RNA from Pan troglodytes (chimpanzee), 152 nucleotides. It matches the Rfam family "Metazoan signal recognition particle RNA". Rfam says of the family: The signal recognition particle (SRP) is a universally conserved ribonucleoprotein. It is involved in the co-translational targeting of proteins to membranes. NCBI's taxonomy places the organism in Eukaryota, Metazoa, Chordata, Mammalia, Primates, Hominidae. The record is from Rfam.